Molecule: long non-coding RNA, 395 nt
Organism: Monopterus albus (swamp eel)
Lineage: Eukaryota; Metazoa; Chordata; Actinopteri; Synbranchiformes; Synbranchidae
Exons: 2
Source: RefSeq, a predicted model, not a curated record
AGAGCUCACGAGCUAAUGCUAAGCUAACUUUAGCUUAUCAGGAAACGUGCUACAGCCACGCUCAUGGCAUGCCAUCCAGUUUGUAUGUAUUGAGUCCAGUAGUCAACUCAUCCAAGAUUUAUAAUCAACAAGUCGUCUAUUAGCUCACUAUCUGUCACCGACGCAUGAUUUGAAGAAUACCAGAUGAACAAAAGCAUCACAAAUGAACCAGAACAGCCUUCAAUCUCACAAUUUCUGGACAUCCAUGUAGGGCAGUAUAGCAUGAGUCAUCCACAGCAGAAAGCUAUCACCAAUUCAAUAUUGUCUGACUUGAUUAUUGGUUGCAACUUGCCCCUGUCUAUUGUGGAAAAUAAGAGUUUUCGGCACUUUCUGACAGUAGUGGACAGUAAGUACAG